UACAUCCUUCAUUUGUUCAUCCAUUACUUCAUCAAAAGGGUUUCUUAUCGAGAGUUAGAUCAAGAGAUGGGGCGCCGGCUAAUGGUUCUGCGGUGUUUCUCUUACAAGAUUGUUUCAUCUUCAGAUGAUAAUGAUGAUGAUUGUUCUACGGUUGUUUCCAGUAU
Molecule: long non-coding RNA, 164 nt
Organism: Helianthus annuus (common sunflower)
Lineage: Eukaryota; Viridiplantae; Streptophyta; Magnoliopsida; Asterales; Asteraceae
Exons: 3
Source: RefSeq, a predicted model, not a curated record